This 556-nucleotide ribosomal RNA is filed under the name uncultured Staphylococcus sp. RNAcentral's name for it is "bacterial SSU rRNA". It matches the Rfam family "Bacterial small subunit ribosomal RNA", at positions 32 to 573 of the family's 1533-position model. Lineage: Bacteria; Bacillati; Bacillota; Bacilli; Caryophanales; Staphylococcaceae. The record is from RNAcentral.
AGUAAUUGGGGGGUGCUAUAAUGCAGUCGAGCGAACAGAUAAGGAGCUUGCUCCUUUGACGUUAGCGGCGGACGGGUGAGUAACACGUGGGUAACCUACCUAUAAGACUGGGAUAACUUCGGGAAACCGGAGCUAAUACCGGAUAACAUUUGGAACCGCAUGGUUCUAAAGUGAAAGAUGGUUUUGCUAUCACUUAUAGAUGGACCCGCGCCGUAUUAGCUAGUUGGUAAGGUAACGGCUUACCAAGGCGACGAUACGUAGCCGACCUGAGAGGGUGAUCGGCCACACUGGAACUGAGACACGGUCCAGACUCCUACGGGAGGCAGCAGUAGGGAAUCUUCCGCAAUGGGCGAAAGCCUGACGGAGCAACGCCGCGUGAGUGAUGAAGGGUUUCGGCUCGUAAAACUCUGUUAUUAGGGAAGAACAAAUGUGUAAGUAACUGUGCACGUCUUGACGGUACCUAAGCAGAAAGCCACGGCUGACUACAUGGAGUGCGAGAGCGGGAAUAAGUAGGUGGCAAGGGUUAUACGGGAUUAAAGGGCGGGAGGGUCGGGGC